GUAAGAUAUUAAAAAUAUUUUCUUUAUUUUUUAGAUUUUUUAAAAAAUGUAUUAUUUGUGUGAAAAGUAUCAUCAACCUAUUACAGUAAACUAUAUAGCUGAUUAUGUUAGUUGGGUACCUAGGCUAACUUUGUUGGACUUACAAAUAAACUGGAGAUACAAAUGUACUCUCAGAAAAGAACUUGUUCAUAGGUAGGAGACUUACUAUACUAAUUUCCACAUUUGUUUGUGGGUAGGCUUAAGGUUUUGAGGGGAAACUGACAUUUGAUCCUUUUAUUUUUUCAGUUGAAAACAUAAACACAGAAAUGAGAAUCUGCUCAGUUUUGACUCUGUCCUGCACAGAACAGAGACUGGAAAACUAUGAAUCAAUAUUUUUGAUUGUGUUUAUUUUCCUCCAAAGAAUUGAUGCUUUUGAAUUGUGGUGUUGGAGAAGACCCUUGAGAAUCCUUUGGAUUGAAGGGAGACCAAACUAGUCAAUUCUAAAGGAAAUCAACCAUGAAUAUUUACUGGAAAGAUUGAUGUUUAAGCUGAAGCUUCAAUACUUUUGCCACGUGGUGUGAAGAGCCAACUCAUUGGAAAAGACUCUGAUGUUGGGGAAGAUUGAAGGCAAAAGGAGAAGAGGUAGCAGAGAAUGAGGUGGUUAGAUAGCAUCACUGACUCAAUGGACAUGAAUUUGAGUAAGCUCCAGGAGACAGUGAAGACGCAGGAGUCUGAUGUGCUGCAGUCCACGGGGUUGCAGAGUCAGAUAUGACUUAGUGACUGAACAACAACAACAAAAUUUACCUCCACACUGUAGGAUAAUAUGUAUUAUUUUUCUUUUGGCUUACCUGUGUUUUCUGAAUAUUUAACAACAAACGUUAUUUUUGAAAUUAAACAAUGUGAAAUAAUUGUAUCAUUUUUCUCACAAGUAGUUAUAUAAAACCCCUUUUUGCCUCCUUCUGGUCCUUGACUUUGAAUUGUUUCAUUUUGAAGAGGGGAAUAGUAGAGAAUUUAUGUCUAGGGUCCUUAGAAUAAGGUUUUCUCUCUGCAGUUCAUAAUGGAUUUGGUUGGGUGCCCAAUAUAAACUUCACUCUGCGACCCACCUUCUUCUCUGUCCUAGUUCUUGUGUGAAGACAUAAAAAUGUGACUCCAGGGUUAUUUUACAUUUCAGUCAAAAGAAAUUGUUUCAGAGGAAAUGUCUAGAGUGCUCGUGUAUCUGUCUUAUUUAAUAACUCUCUUUCCCUUAAUUGAGAAAAGAAAAAGCAAAAACAAAAAAUAAGUAGAGCUGUAUUGGUUUAGAAGAUACUUUUAGAGAUCCCUGUCUCCAACUGUGCUUGUUCCCGCUGUCUGCUAUGGUCCAUUAGAUAAACAUGGUGCUCUGCAGCCAGGCGGUUGUUGAUAUAUUUGGCAACACUGAUAAUGUGAUCUAUGUGUAGGAGGAAGUGGAUGCGUCAUUCCUUGGGGGCAAAGGUUUUCUGAAAGUGAUUGUUUCAUUCUCAAGGAAAAUUCAGUUAGGUCAUUGCGCCUUAAGUUCUUGCUGAGAGUUUGAGCACUUUUAAUUUGCCAUUUGUACUUUUUUCUAUUACUUUUAUUGAAAUCUCAGAUUAAUCUUUAGGCUUAUUUUCAGAGGCAGUGGGUACUAACUGAAAGGAAAGGCAAACCUGGUUGUUUCUGACUCUGGAAUGUUAGUGUAAUAAGGAAAAUGGCGGGGCUUGUCAUCUUAUGUCUGCUUAAUAUACAUCAGUCACAAUUUUUAGUAUUUUCAUAUGUGAUCUUCAAGUUUAAAAAUAUGCAUACCGAAGAAC
This 1784-nucleotide long non-coding RNA is filed under the name Ovis aries (sheep). RNAcentral's name for it is "lncRNA (ENSOARG00000027036.1)". The record is from RNAcentral. Lineage: Eukaryota; Metazoa; Chordata; Mammalia; Artiodactyla; Bovidae.